This 1059-nucleotide long non-coding RNA is filed under the name Zonotrichia albicollis (white-throated sparrow). Its description in RNAcentral is "lncRNA (ENSZALG00000013190.1)". The record is from RNAcentral. Lineage: Eukaryota; Metazoa; Chordata; Aves; Passeriformes; Passerellidae.
AUGCCCCGACAGCCCAGCACCGCCCGGAGCUGCUGCUGCCUGCACAGGGCUCCUGCCUGCGCUGGAACAGCCCAGCUCUGCUCUGUGCCACUGCCACUGUCACUGUGCCACUGUCAUUGUGUCACUGUGUCACUGUUAUUGUGUCACUGUCACUGUCACUGUGUCACUGUGCCACUGUCACUGUGCCACUGCCACUGUGUCACUGUCACUGUGUCACUGUCAUUGUCACUGUGCCACUGUCACUGUGUCACUGUGUCACUGUCACUGUCAUUGUGUCACUGUCACUGUCACUGUCACUGUGUCACUGCCUCUGUGUCACUGCCACUGUGUCACUGUCACUGUGUCACUGUCACUGCCAUUGUGUCACUGUGUCUGUGUCACUGUGUCUGUGUCACUGUCACUGUGUCACUGUGUCACUGUCACUGUGUCAAUGUCACUGUCACUGUGUCACUGUGUCACUGUGUCACUGUGUCACUGUGUCAAUGUCACUGUGCCACUGUCACUACCAUUGUGUCACUGUGUCACUGGCACUGUGUCACUGUGUCACUGUCACUGUGUCACUGUCACUGCCAUUGUGUCACUGUGUCACUGCCAUUGUGUCACUGUGUCACUGUCACUGUCACUGUGUCACUGUCACUCUGUCACUGUCACUGUGCCACUGUGUCACUGCCACUGUCACUGUCACUGCCACUGUGUCACUGUCACUGCCACUGUGUCACUGUGUCACUGUCACUGUGCCACUGUGUCACUGUGUCACUGUCACUGUCACUGUCACUGUCACUGUGUCACUGUGUCACUGUGUCACUGCCACUGUGUCACUGUGUCACUGUCACUGCCACUGUCACUGUGCCACUGUCACUGCCACUGUGUCACUGCCAUUGUGUCACUGUCACUGUGUCACUGCCACUAUGUCACUGUACCACUGUGUCACUGUCACUCUGUCACUGUCACUGUGUCACUGUGCCACUGUCACUGUGUCACUGUCACUGUGUCACUGCCAUUGUCACUGUCACUGUGUCCCUGCCACGGUCAGUGUCACUGCAGCAGGAGUAUUGGUGA